GAAGUGGGGGGGAGAAGAGGUUGUGGUAUGAAGGUAAAUUUAAUAGAAUCUGAAAAAAAAAACUAAGGAAAAAUUGUCUUUACAGAAUCCUGACUGUAAAAAUGUGUCUAAAGUAAACUAGUUUGCCUCGAUUUCUUGAAAGCACAACUACUUUUUUAAGGUUGGGUGUUUUUUUUUUUGUGUUUUCAGUGGUAAAUGACCACUUAAAUGACCCUUAAAAAUCGCUCCAAUUCCACUGAAUGAGAUCAACACAAGGAUCAAACUGAAAAUAGGACUCAAAAAGAAAAAAACGUAUUUAACAUUGAAAUCAAAAUUUUCAUUGAGCCGUAAAGGCUUUGAGGAAAUACUGCUCAGCAUCUACAUCCGGCUGUUUGCAGAAGAAGGUGAGGGUUAACCUUAAAAAACCUUUGACAGAUAAAAUGAAUGAGUACAAAUAUAUGCCAGCCUUUGCAGAUCUUCUUUUGUAAAAUGAAAAAAAAAAACUAUGUAUCACCCAAUGUAUCAUGUUAUGUAACUUUGACCUUUUUCAUCUUGACUCAUUUUAACAUUAAAUAUGGAUGUUUCUCCACUUCCUGAGAAGUGGAGAAAGAAUGAACAAAAAUGCUGACAUGUUUCUUAGCAGUUCAAGUCAGUAUGUGUGAAUGCCUUUUCUAAACCGAGUUUGUCCUGUGCAGGGCAGUGAAGAAGCUGCAGUCUAUGCUGGAGGUCAGAAGGCGACAACAUCGAAAGAAUUUCAGUUUGUUACAGAGCAAAGACAGAUACACAUAUGCUGAACAACCAGGGACAAAAAUGACUAUCACAAAGGUCAUUUCAGAAUGAUCUGGAAACAUGCAGGCUGCAGAGAAAAACAUGCUUAAGCUGCCUAAAGUUCAACUGUGCAGGAGUUUCAAGCUUUUUGUGGAACCACAUCAGUUUGGUAACUUGAAACACCCUUAGUUUGUUGACUUCCUCCUGACAGGUCAAACUCACACGCUUAACAACACUCAGUGAAAGCGUUGGUGGUUGCAGAACACGGAAUUUAUUUAUUCAGGGAAAGCAAGCAAAUUAUCACCUCACUGUAUUUCAAAUACACGUUAGAUCCAAAUAACAUUUCGUCUUGCAGGUUAAUUUUAUAGAAUGAAUGAUAAUUUAGCCAACAAAACCAACUAGCUCAGUUUUAAUCACAUAAUUUGGUUCUUUUAUGUUAGAGACCAACACAAAGUGGUCCAUAAUUGUAAAGCCAAGUCAACAAGAAAUGUAUAAUUUAUGAUUUUCCUUUUACUUCUCUGUAUUUGUUGAUUCGACUGUUUGAUUUCUAAAGAAUGAAAGUGAAACUGGUAACACUUUAUUUGAUGGGGUGUGCAUAAGGCUGACAUGACACUGUCAUAAACAUUAAGGAGUCUUUAUGAAUGUUUAUGAUCGUUGUCAUGAAAUGUCAGUCGGUAAAUAAUGCCACUUUUAAUGCAAAGUUGCUCUAAAAGUUGCAUUGAAAGUCCAUUAAAAGCCAACUUUGCAUGAUUCUGUAAAUAAUGUCACUUUAAUGGGUAAAUAAAUGUCAGUCUUAUGCACACCCCGUCAAAUAAAGUGUUACCGUAAAACUCAAUGAACUAGAGUAUUAAUAAAACAUUAAUUUCCUUCAGUAAUUAAAUUCAAAAGUGAAACACAUAUAUAAGUUCAUGCCAAACAGAGGGAUUCACUUGGUUAUGUCUGAUAUACACCUGCAGCUGUAAAACCUCAAACUACCUCAAACUACCCAGUUUAUUUCAAUGCUAACUGAAGCUAAAAGCAAAGUUAUUUUUGUCCUCUGCGGUUUAGGUGGAGACGCUGAAGAGCCAUUUUUCAGUCAUAGCUGCCUUCCUUUUUUAGUCAUAUUACCCAGCUGUGCAACAAGUUUUCACAUUAGUGGUUAGACAUAAUAGUCAAAGACCAACCAGCCAGCCCAUCAUUGUCCUUUUCACAAUGCAGCUCCCAAUUCUGUUUUAUCUCAGUCUAAUGUGGAUACUGCUAUCACAAGCUAAAGAAGACCCUCGCUGGAAGAUAUACUUGAAUCAGACCAUAAAUGCAACAAAAGGAUCAAAUAUAAUCAUAUUCUGCACAUUUGAAGCUCCUCCAGAACAAAAAACAAACAUUAAAGUUUAUUGGAAAACAAAAGGGAACAGUAGCUGCAGCAAGAAAGACAACGACAGGCUGGCAUUCGCGUUUCAUCCUAGCACCUCUUGCAUAGAUCCACACUUCCAGAGUAGGACAAAACUAAUUGGAGAAGCCAGAGAUGGAAACUGCUCUCUACAAAUCAUCAAUAUUAUGAAAAGUGAACCAUCAAUCUACCUGCGAGUUUCUGGAUGGAACGACAAUUACAGUUUCAAAAAACAUGCUGUCAAAUUUUAUGUGGAUGAAAAAAUAUUUAGUUAGUAUAUUUUCAAUUUUACCAGCUAUUUUAUGCUUGUUCAAACAUUUAAAGUUUUUCUAUUGUAGUCAAAGUUUUGAUUCCAUUAGGCAAUUAUAGCUUGCAAUCAUACAGAUUAAGUUUACUUUAAAUGUUUGGAAACAGAUUUUUCUUUUCAAGGUUUCUUGAGUCACACAGAUGAUCCCUCAUUUGAAUUUACAAUAAAUAAUUUUUUAUUUACUUCAUGUCAUUUAUUCAGUCUGUUCCUCAGAAACAAAUACGGACAUAUAAAAAUCUUCAGUAAGGCUUCUUUAAUGAAAAUGACUAUUGUUCACAGCAACCGCCAUGCCUGAUGUGCAUGAUGCUGGGAACAUCAAGCUGUACCUGGCCAUCUUUGUGCCACUUCUCGGACUUUUCAUCAUUGCUACAGCUGGGACAGUGGCUUACAAAAUGCACAAGAGGUCACUCAUGUUCAAACAGCAGGAAUCUGGAUAUUAUGCAAACUUCAGACAGACAUCAUCAACCACACCCAAAAGUGAAUCAUUUUGUAAAACAUCGAACCAGAUGCCUCCACAUCCAAAAGUCAUUGAUGAGCCUGUUUACAUUAAUUUUCAGGCAUCAGCAAAUCAAAUGGACCAACAAGUGGAAACCGUAGACAAUAUUUAUGGAAAUGUUGACUAUACAACUUAGAAAAAACCUCUGUCUCAAAGCUUUCAUCCUAAAGGAUUGUAUUUUCCUGCGUCGCCUUUGGUGUUCAAAUGCACAUGUUCAGUCAGAAGCAUCAAAAGUGUGUCAACUAGAUUGAGAAGAAUGCACUGGUUUGCAACACAUGCAUGGAAACUCCAAAGUUUAAUGAAAAGGAAACUUUAUCCAGCUGUUAGGACUGGCGUCGCAUCUUAAUUAUGCAAACAUGACGUGCAGGUGCCCAUCUCUGAUUGGGUCUCAGAAGACGGUGGAGACGUCCAAUUGGUGGCUUACUGGAGGUAACGGAUAUAAAAACUUCUGAUACGGACUUCCUGUCAUCCAUCCUCAGCUCAUCUCAACUGGCCUCACUGUCUUUCUGCCAAAAACUCUUCAUAAAAGUUCUUGGAGUUUGUAGGAGUUGGCUGCCGUUUAUGUUUGUUUUAUCAUAGUUUUAUCAUGUUUUUCUUAAUUAGGGAGGUAAGUUUUUGUCAUUUGGUUUAUUUACUUUCAAAUCAGUACGUUUUAAUGUUCACAUAG
Long non-coding RNA from Xiphophorus couchianus (Monterrey platyfish), 3583 nucleotides. RefSeq lists it as uncharacterized. The record is from RefSeq and is a predicted model, not a curated record. Lineage: Eukaryota; Metazoa; Chordata; Actinopteri; Cyprinodontiformes; Poeciliidae. The transcript has 6 exons.